ACGGGAACCUUCGGGUUCUAGUGGCGGACGGGUGAGUAACGCGUGAGAAUCUACCUUCUGGUCGGGGACAACCACUGGAAACGGUGGCUAAUACCGGAUGAGCCUAAGGGUAAAAGAUUAAUUGCCAGAAGAAGAGCUCGCGUCUGAUUAGCUAGUUGGUGAGGUAAGAGCUCACCAAGGCAGCGAUCAGUAGCUGGUCUGAGAGGAUGACCAGCCACACUGGGACUGAGACACGGCCCAGACUCCUACGGGAGGCAGCAGUGGGGAAUUUUCCGCAAUGGGCGAAAGCCUGACGGAGCAAGACCGCGUGAGGGAAGAAGGCUUUUGGGUUGUAAACCUCUUUUAUCAGGGAAGAAAAAAAUGACGGUACCUGAAGAAUCAGCCUCGGCUAACUCCGUGCCAGCAGCCGCGGUAAUACGGAGGAGGCAAGCGUUAUCCGGAAUUAUUGGGCGUAAAGCGUCUGCAGGUGGCUUAUCAAGUCUGCUGUCAAAGAGUGGGGCUUAACCCCAUUAAGGCAGUGGAAACUGAGAAGCUAGAGUGCCGUAGGGGUAGAGGGAAUUCCCGGUGUAGCGGUGAAAUGCGUAGAGAUCGGGAAGAACAUCGGUGGCGAAAGCGCUCUACUGGACGGCAACUGACACUCAGG
Molecule: ribosomal RNA, 643 nt
Filed under: uncultured cyanobacterium
Lineage: Bacteria; Bacillati; Cyanobacteriota
Description: bacterial SSU rRNA
Rfam family: Bacterial small subunit ribosomal RNA
Source: RNAcentral